RNAcentral lists this ribosomal RNA (708 nucleotides) under human gut metagenome. Its description in RNAcentral is "bacterial SSU rRNA". It matches the Rfam family "Bacterial small subunit ribosomal RNA", at positions 812 to 1520 of the family's 1533-position model. The record is from RNAcentral.
UCGACUUGGAGGUUGUGCCCUUGAGGCGUGGCUUCCGGAGCUAACGCGUUAAGUCGACCGCCUGGGGAGUACGGCCGCAAGGUUAAAACUCAAAUGAAUUGACGGGGGCCCGCACAAGCGGUGGAGCAUGUGGUUUAAUUCGAUGCAACGCGAAGAACCUUACCUACUCUUGACAUCCAGAGAACUUAGCAGAGAUGCUUUGGUGCCUUCGGGAACUCUGAGACAGGUGCUGCAUGGCUGUCGUCAGCUCGUGUUGUGAAAUGUUGGGUUAAGUCCCGCAACGAGCGCAACCCUUAUCCUUUGUUGCCAGCGGUUAGGCCGGGAACUCAAAGGAGACUGCCAGUGAUAAACUGGAGGAAGGUGGGGAUGACGUCAAGUCAUCAUGGCCCUUACGAGUAGGGCUACACACGUGCUACAAUGGCAUAUACAAAGAGAAGCGACCUCGCGAGAGCAAGCGGACCUCAUAAAGUAUGUCGUAGUCCGGAUUGGAGUCUGCAACUCGACUCCAUGAAGUCGGAAUCGCUAGUAAUCGUGGAUCAGAAUGCCACGGUGAAUACGUUCCCGGGCCUUGUACACACCGCCCGUCACACCAUGGGAGUGGGUUGCAAAAGAAGUAGGUAGCUUAACCUUCGGGAGGGCGCUUACCACUUUGUGAUUCAUGACUGGGGUGAAGUCGUAACAAGGUAACCGUAGGGGAACCUGCGGUUG